RNAcentral lists this long non-coding RNA (211 nucleotides) under Gossypium barbadense (sea-island cotton). Its description in RNAcentral is "long non-coding RNA (GBAR_LNC012825)". The record is from RNAcentral. Lineage: Eukaryota; Viridiplantae; Streptophyta; Magnoliopsida; Malvales; Malvaceae.
UGAGUUUUGCUUCCUUUCUUCCUCGGGUAACUUCUCAAAUUUUCCCAGGUAAUUUUUUAAUUUUCUCUCUUUCCUUCAUUUCCCCAACAAUGGUUAGAAUCAAAGAAAAUCAUCAUGAGGGUGGGAGGAAUCACGACGGUCACAGUUGAAGGGGCUGUGUAGGUGGUGCUAUAGUGGGUGAUGGGGCUGGACCCAAUACUUGAGAGGUAAG